This 799-nucleotide ribosomal RNA is filed under the name Acetobacter pasteurianus. Its description in RNAcentral is "bacterial SSU rRNA". It matches the Rfam family "Bacterial small subunit ribosomal RNA", at positions 64 to 906 of the family's 1533-position model. RNAcentral also lists the same sequence under 4 other names. The record is from RNAcentral. Lineage: Bacteria; Pseudomonadati; Pseudomonadota; Alphaproteobacteria; Acetobacterales; Acetobacteraceae.
GCACGAAGGGUUUCGGCCUUAGUGGCGGACGGGUGAGUAACGCGUAGGUAUCUAUCCAUGGGUGGGGGAUAACACUGGGAAACUGGUGCUAAUACCGCAUGACACCUGAGGGUCAAAGGCGUAAGUCGCCUGUGGAGGAGCCUGCGUUUGAUUAGCUAGUUGGUGGGGUAAAGGCCUACCAAGGCGAUGAUCAAUAGCUGGUUUGAGAGGAUGAUCAGCCACACUGGGACUGAGACACGGCCCAGACUCCUACGGGAGGCAGCAGUGGGGAAUAUUGGACAAUGGGGGCAACCCUGAUCCAGCAAUGCCGCGUGUGUGAAGAAGGUCUUCGGAUUGUAAAGCACUUUCGACGGGGACGAUGAUGACGGUACCCGUAGAAGAAGCCCCGGCUAACUUCGUGCCAGCAGCCGCGGUAAUACGAAGGGGGCUAGCGUUGCUCGGAAUGACUGGGCGUAAAGGGCGUGUAGGCGGUUUGUACAGUCAGAUGUGAAAUCCCCGGGCUUAACCUGGGAGCUGCAUUUGAUACGUGCAGACUAGAGUGUGAGAGAGGGUUGUGGAAUUCCCAGUGUAGAGGUGAAAUUCGUAGAUAUUGGGAAGAACACCGGUGGCGAAGGCGGCAACCUGGCUCAUUACUGACGCUGAGGCGCGAAAGCGUGGGGAGCAAACAGGAUUAGAUACCCUGGUAGUCCACGCUGUAAACGAUGUGUGCUAGAUGUUGGGUGACUUAGUCAUUCAGUGUCGCAGUUAACGCGUUAAGCACACCGCCUGGGGAGUACGGCCGCAAGGUUGAAACUCAAAG